RNAcentral lists this long non-coding RNA (1131 nucleotides) under Homo sapiens (human). RNAcentral's name for it is "long non-coding RNA NONHSAT149055.1". Lineage: Eukaryota; Metazoa; Chordata; Mammalia; Primates; Hominidae. The record is from RNAcentral.
AAAUCACCCAAAUUCAAUACAGAGAGAGAACUACCAUUAUAGUUUAUGCAUAUUGCCUUCCAGUUCUUUCUCUGUGCAUAGAAAUAGCCUUUUCAAUGGUGUCAUAGUAUAACAUCCUAUUUUGUAAUUGCCUUUUUCAAUUAACAUUAUAUUAUAAAUGUUUUGCCACAUCAUUACUCUUUUACAGUAUUGCUUACAUUGGUUAUACCAUACUUAUUUAACCAGUCCCCAAUUGUAGGGCAUUUAAGAUUUUUUUACUUUUCUUUUUUCUUUUUUUCUAUUCUAAAGAAUUCAUUGAAUGAACAACUAAGUUGCCAUUGUUGAGGGUAUUCUUAUGUUAAAACAGCCAAAUUAUUUAAAAUAUGGAGAAAGUGAUUUGGUGUCAAAGCAAGGUAACCAACAAGAUGAAACGAUUGCAUGUGAAGUCUUCAUAAGCAUACAUGGUUUCCUUUUUGGGAGUCACAGAGGUCACAGACACAAGCAGCAACUUUUAGGAAACACUGGAAAAGUUGAACCCUGUAUUAUUAUUGAAGACCAAUAACCCAAAAAUGGACUGUGAUUAAUUAGAAUAAAUUGAAAUCAAAUACAGACCGACUUAUCAGGGGACUAUUCUGUCACCUCUUUGUUUCUGUGACAAAUGCAAAGCAAUUCACAACAUCUUUUUCAUUCACAGGUGGAUUUCUCUUUUUGUUUGUUUUUAAUUCUUUAAAUGUUAUCUUUUAGGUUGCACAAAUCAUUGUUCCAUGAAUUAAAGUGUACUUACCAGUUGAUCCUUCUUGCCAGGAAUGCCAUCUCCAACCACACUGAAGAAGUCGGAGAAGUCUGGUUUCAGCAGCCCCUCCCCUUCACAGACCUCCUCCCUGGGAACGGCGUUCACACAGCAUCACCGACCUGUCAUUACAGGACCCAGAGCAAGUCCGCAUGCAACACCAUCGACUCUUCAUUUCCCGACAUCACCCAUUAUCCAGCAGCCUGGGCCUUACUUCUCACACCCAGCCAUCCGCUAUCACCCUCAGGAGACGCUGAAAGAAUUUGUCCAACUUGUCUGCCCUGAUGCUGGUCAGCAGGCUGGACAGGUGGGGUUCCUCAAUCCCAAUGGGAGCAGCCAAGGCAAGGUGCACAACCCAUUCC